This 254-nucleotide ribosomal RNA is filed under the name uncultured bacterium. RNAcentral describes it as "partial 16S ribosomal RNA". It matches the Rfam family "Bacterial small subunit ribosomal RNA", at positions 524 to 776 of the family's 1533-position model. The record is from RNAcentral.
UACAGAGGGUGCAAGCGUUGUUCGGAAUUAUUGGGCGUAAAGGGUGCGUAGGCGGUGCGGUAAGUCUGUAGUGCAAUCUCUGGGCUCAACUCAGAGUCUGCUAUAGAAACUGCCGUGCUUGAGUGUGGGAGAGGGUAGUGGAAUUCCCGGUGUAGUGGUGAAAUGCGUAGAUAUCGGGAGGAACACCAGUGGCGAAGGCGACUACCUGGCCUGUUUCUUGACGCUGAGGCGCGAAAGCUAGGGGAGCAAACGGG